UCCCUGCACGGUUACCAGAGUAUUGAUAACGUUCAAUCGGAUCCUUUCUCGGACCGGCAAACACUACGAUAAUUCGCCAGCCAGAUCCAACAAACGCUGCAUUUCCGUGGAUAUUCAGGCGGACGACGUCAACGAUCGCGAAAACGUUACCAUCAGCUGAUGACUAGCAACAUGCUAACUGGAACUAGCACGCAUAAGUCACUAGCUAACCUCAGCGAGUCGGCUAGCUAGUUGACAAAAUGAAGGCAGCUAACGCUAGCUAGCUGCCCGGGCUAGCGCUAGCUUCUCCGGCUAGCCUCAAGCUAACGAUCGCCAAAAAAAAAAAAAAAAAGGUACGUCGAACGGAUUUUACGCAGUCUUUGUCAAAAUUGCCGUCGACCUCCACGACCCGCUGCGUGGCGCGGGUGUCGUCCGUGUAUUUUUAACCCGAAAUACGACCCGCGUCCUCUGGUAAAUUUGCUUCGGAAUUUUGUGUCAAUUUUCACAAAAUGGCGCGCGGUCCAAACCUGCGCAGUGAACCGGCCCGGUGGACCAGAGACGCGGACAACCGCCUUAGUGCGGCGCCGCCUAAUUGUUUCUGCGGCGUUAAAACGUCGGCCUCUUGAUCUUCUUCGCCCGGUCCAUUAGACGCGUCUCGUUAUCCGAAAACGUCAAAGGUAUAUCCACUGACAGCAUUAUUCCGGCGGGAAGGGGGAACAUUUGAAACGACUGAGCUUGGGGGGAAAAACCCUCCUGACAAAAUGGCGAUGCUCUCGCUUGUUGCCAUGGCAACUGUCAAUCAAGACACCCAAAGACCCCGGAUGUACCGAUGACGAAUAAAAUCAUCGCGCGGAAAAUUGGGGGCGGUGCCUCUGGAUCGGCAGACCGGGGUGGUGGCUCCUCUCUUUAAGAAGUGGAACCGAAGGAUGUGUUCCAACUAUCGUGGGAUCACACACCUCAGCCCUACCGGUAAGGUCUCUUCAUGUGUACUGGAGAGGAGGCUACGCCGGAUAGUCGAACCUUGGAUUCAGGAGGAACAGUGUGGUUUUCGUCCCGGUCGUGGAACUGUGGACCAGCUCUAACCUCUCGGCAGGGUUCCUGAGGGUGCAUGGGAGUUUGCCCAACCAGUCUACAUGUGCUUUGUGGACUUGGAGAAGGCAUUCGACCGUGUCCCUCCGGAAGUCCUGUGGGGAGUGCUCAGAGAGUAUGGGGUAUCGGACUGUCUUAUUGUGGCGGUCCGCUACCUGUAUGAUCAGUGUCAGAGCUUGGUCCGCAUUGCCGGCAGUAAGUCGGAUACGUUUCCAGUGAGGGUUGGACUCCGCCAGGGCUGCCCUUCGUCACCGAUUCUGUUCAUAACUUUAAUGGACAGAAUUUCUAGGCGCAGUCAAGGCGUUGAGUCAAGGCGUUGGUGGCUGCAGGAUUAGGUCUUUGCUUUUUGCAGAUGAUGUGGUUCUGAUGGCUUCGUCUGGCCAGGAUCUUCAGCUCUCACUGAGUCGGUUCGCAGCCGAGUGUGAAGCGACUGGGAUGAGAAUGAGCACCUCAAACUCCGAGUCCAUGGUUCUCGCCCGGAAAUGGGUGGAGUGCCAUCUCCGGUUUGGGGAGGAGACCCUGCCCCAAGUGGAGGAGUUCAAGUACCUCAGAGUCUUGUUCACGAGUCAGAAUAGAGUCGAUCGGUGCAGCGUCUUCAGUAAUGCAGACGCUGUAUCGAUCCAUUGUGGUGAAAAAGGAGCUGAGGUGGAAGGCAAAGCUCUUAAUUUACUAGUCGAUCUACGUUCCCAUCCUCACCUAUGGUCAUGAGCUUUGGGUUAUGACCGAAAGGACAAAAUCACGGGUACAAGCGGCCUAAGGGAGUGUCCUCCGCCGGGUGGCGGGGCUCUCCCUUAAAGAUAGGGUGAGAAGCUCUGCCAUCCGGGAGGAGCUCAAGGUAAAUCGACUGCUGCUCCACAUCAAGAGGAGCCAGAUGAGGUGGUUCGGGCAUCUGGUCAGGAUGCAGCCCAAACGCCUCCCUAGGGAGUUGUUUCGGGCAGGUCCGACCGGUAGGAGGCUACGGAAAGACCCAGGACACGUUGGGAAGACUAUGUCUCCCUACUGGUCUGGGAACACGUCGGGAUUUCCCGGGAAGAGCUGGACGAAGUGGCUGGGGAGAGGAGAGUCUGGGCUUCCCUUCUUAGGCUGCUGCCCCCACGACCCGACCUUGGAUAAGCGGAAGAAGAUGGAUGGAUUUGCUUAUUUUCUGUCUGAUAAGAUAAUUCUUCCCACCAAGCAGAUUUUAUGUUAGAGUCCUUACUUGUUUUAAGGGUUAUGGUGCCUAAUUGAUCUCAGUAAGAUAUUACAGCUUCUUGAUGAGAUGUUAUGACCUAUAUUGAGUAAAACAUGCUUGAAACUAGAAUAUCAACUGUUCCAAGGCUGUGUCAUCAACACUAACAAGUACAAAACUACUUUUUUAAAGUUAUGAUUUAUUAUAUUUAAGCUGGAAAAAAAAAUGACUUUGACACAAUUGUGUCUCAUAUUAAAACUGAUGACAACCAAAUGGUUUUUGCCAUUUUAUUUUCAAUGAAACAAUAGAAAAUAUGUACGUACUGUAUAUAUUAGUACAGUUGUUAUUGGUGAUAAUAUACUUAUUUGAAGGUAUUUUUAAGUUCAUUGAGGUUAGCUAAUUUUACUUGCUAUGGAAAGUCUUGACAAGCCAAAUUUUCUUGUUCUAUCGGCAGAUAAUUUUGCUUAGUUCAAAUAAAAUACCCCUAAUUUUUGUAUUUUUUUUUUCUUGUUUUGGAAGACUGACUUUUUGCAGUGCAAUUAGUGAGUGAAGCGCACAUUUGUAGUUGUUUGCCCAUAUUCCUGCACAAUAACUCAGAUAUGGUAACACUAGUAAGUAGCAGAGAAAAACAAUGUUAGAAAAAGAAUAACCCUCAAUAAUAUUCAGCACUUUUAAAAGUCCCAUCAUAUCAAUGAACCAUCAUUUUUUGCAGUCUGCGUAUGAAUGUAGACAAGAAUGAAAUGCACUAAUUUUAAAGAGUAAACAUCAAUGAUACAACACAUUAAGGGUAUUUAAAUAACAGCAUGUUGUGCAAAAAGUAGUGAAAUAUUUAACAGUUGGACAUGUGCAUUCAAAAUGUAAAUAAAGCCCGACUGUAAAGGUUAUUUUAGGUUCAUCCAGAAAUUUUAGCUGAUAGUCGAAAAUCUUUUUAGGAGUUGUGGGUGUGUGAACAAUUAUUUACUGCAAUGUGUUCAUUUUCAAGCUGUAAUAAAAAAGUACUUUUUAAUGAAAGU
Nerophis ophidion (straightnose pipefish) is the source of this 3249-nucleotide long non-coding RNA. RefSeq lists it as uncharacterized. The transcript is spliced from 2 exons. The record is from RefSeq and is a predicted model, not a curated record. Lineage: Eukaryota; Metazoa; Chordata; Actinopteri; Syngnathiformes; Syngnathidae.